UUGACGGAGAGUUUGAUCCUGGCUCAGGACGAACGCUGGCGGCGUGCUUAAUACAUGCAAGUCGAACGAUCCCGGGACUUCGGUCCCAAUGGGAGAGUGGCGAACGGGUGCGUAACACGUGAGAAACCUGUCCCGGAGAUGGGAAUAGCCCAGGGAAACCUGGAUUAAUACCCAAUACCCUGAGAGCGUCGCAUGGCGCACUUAGGAAAGGUUCCGGCGCUCCGGGAGGGUCUCGCGGCCUAUCAGCUAGUUGGUGAGGUAAAGGCUCACCAAGGCAUCGACGGGUAGCUGGUCUGAGAGGACGAUCAGCCACACUGGGACUGAGACACGGCCCAGACUCCUACGGGAGGCAGCAGUAGGGAAUCUUGCGCAAUGGGCGAAAGCCUGACGCAGCAACGCCGCGUGGGGGAUGAAUGCCUUCGGGUUGUAAACCCCUUUCAGCAGGGACGAAAAUGACGGUACCUGCAGAAGAAGC
This 475-nucleotide ribosomal RNA is filed under the name Acidimicrobiaceae bacterium. RNAcentral describes it as "bacterial SSU rRNA". It matches the Rfam family "Bacterial small subunit ribosomal RNA", at positions 1 to 491 of the family's 1533-position model. The record is from RNAcentral. Lineage: Bacteria; Bacillati; Actinomycetota; Acidimicrobiia; Acidimicrobiales; Acidimicrobiaceae.